This 66-nucleotide microRNA precursor is filed under the name Pan paniscus (pygmy chimpanzee). Its description in RNAcentral is "miRNA (ENSPPAG00000001519.1)". The record is from RNAcentral. Lineage: Eukaryota; Metazoa; Chordata; Mammalia; Primates; Hominidae.
AAAUCUCUCUCCAUAUCUUUCCUGCAGCCCCCAGGUGGGGGGAAGAAAAGGUGGGGAAUUAGAUUC